UACGGAGGGGGCUAGCGUUGUUCGGAAUUCCUGGGCGUAAAGCGCACGUAGGCUGCUUUGCAAGUUAGAGGUGAAAGCCCGGAGCUCAACUCCGGAAUUGCCUUUAAAACUGCAUCGCUAGAAUUGUGGAGAGGUGAGUGGAAUUCCGAGUGUAGAGGUGAAAUUCGUAGAUAUUCGGAAGAACACCAGUGGCGAAGGCGACUCACUGGACACAUAUUGACGCUGAGGUGCGAAAGCGUGGGGAGCAAACAGG
This 253-nucleotide ribosomal RNA is filed under the name uncultured bacterium. RNAcentral describes it as "partial 16S ribosomal RNA". It matches the Rfam family "Bacterial small subunit ribosomal RNA", at positions 524 to 776 of the family's 1533-position model. The record is from RNAcentral.